This 213-nucleotide ribosomal RNA is filed under the name uncultured bacterium. RNAcentral describes it as "partial 16S ribosomal RNA". It matches the Rfam family "Bacterial small subunit ribosomal RNA", at positions 32 to 223 of the family's 1533-position model. The record is from RNAcentral.
AAUCAACGCUGGCGGCGUGCCUCAGACAUGCAAGUCGAACGCGAAAGUUCCCUUCGGGGAGCGAGUAGAGUGGCGUCCGGGUGAGUAACACGUAGGUAAUCUACCUUUGGGUGGGGAAUAACAACCGGAAACGGUUGCUAAUACCGCAUAAUGCAGCGGCACCGCAUGGUGACAGUUGUUAAAGCGGGGGAGUCGCAAGACCUCGCGCCUAAA